Molecule: non-coding RNA, 99 nt
Filed under: Inquilinus limosus
Lineage: Bacteria; Pseudomonadati; Pseudomonadota; Alphaproteobacteria; Rhodospirillales; Rhodospirillaceae
Description: TPP sequence
Rfam family: TPP riboswitch aptamer (THI element)
About the family: Vitamin B(1) in its active form thiamin pyrophosphate (TPP) is an essential coenzyme that is synthesised by coupling of pyrimidine and thiazole moieties in bacteria. The previously detected thiamin-regulatory element, thi box was extended, resulting in a new, highly conserved RNA secondary structure, the THI element, which is widely distributed in eubacteria and also occurs in some archaea. Analysis of operon structures identified a large number of new candidate thiamin-regulated genes, mostly transporters, in various prokaryotic organisms.
Source: RNAcentral
CGGCAUCGGCUGGGGUGCCCGUCGUCACGGCGGGCUGAGAUCAUACCCAUCGAACCUGACCUGGAUCAUGCCAGCGGAGGGAGCCUGAGAUGACCGGCA